AUGAACGCUGGCGGCGUGCCUAAUACAUGCAAGUCGAGCGAACGGACGAGAAGCUUGCUUUUCUGAUGUUAGCGGCGGACGGGUGAGUAACACGUGGAUAACCUACCUAUAAGACUGGGAUAACUUCGGGAAACCGGAGCUAAUACCGGAUAAUAUUUUGAACCGCAUGGUUCAAAAGUGAAAGACGGUCUUGCUGUCACUUAUAGAUGGAUCCGCGCUGCAUUAGCUAGUUGGUAAGGUAACGGCUUACCAAGGCAACGAUGCAUAGCCGACCUGAGAGGGUGAUCGGCCACACUGGAACUGAGACACGGUCCAGACUCCUACGGGAGGCAGCAGGAGGGAAUCUUCCGCAAUGGGCGAAAGCCUGACGGAGCAACGCCGCGUGAGUGAUGAAGGUCUUCGGAUCGUAAAACUCUGUUAUUAGGGAAGAACAUAUGUGUAAGUAACUGUGCACAUCUGGACGGUACCUAAUCAGAAAGCCACGGCUAACUACGU
RNAcentral lists this ribosomal RNA (495 nucleotides) under uncultured bacterium. Its description in RNAcentral is "partial 16S ribosomal RNA". It matches the Rfam family "Bacterial small subunit ribosomal RNA", at positions 29 to 506 of the family's 1533-position model. The record is from RNAcentral.